ACUCCUACGGGAGGCAGCAGUGGGGAAUUUUGGACAAUGGGCGAAAGCCUGAUCCAGCAAUGCCGCGUGCAGGAUGAAGGCCUUCGGGUUGUAAACUGCUUUUGUACGGAACGAAAAAGCUCCUUCUAAUACAGGGGGCCCAUGACGGUACCGUAAGAAUAAGCACCGGCUAACUACGUGCCAGCAGUCGCGGUAAUACGUAGGGUGCGAGCGUUAAUCGGAAUUACUGGGCGUAAAGCGUGCGCAGGCGGUUAUGUAAGACAGAUGUGAAAUCCCCGGGCUCAACCUGGGAACUGCAUUUGUGACUGCAUGGCUAGAGUACGGUAGAGGGGGAUGGAAUUCCGCGUGUAGCAGUGAAAUGCGUAGAUAUGCGGAGGAACACCGAUGGCGAAGGCAAUCCCCUGGACCUGUACUGACGCUCAUGCACGAAAGCGUGGGGAGCAAACAGGAUUAGAAACCCGAGUAGUCC
Molecule: ribosomal RNA, 469 nt
Filed under: uncultured organism
Description: partial 16S ribosomal RNA
Rfam family: Bacterial small subunit ribosomal RNA
Source: RNAcentral